Molecule: ribosomal RNA, 774 nt
Filed under: uncultured Neocallimastigales
Lineage: Eukaryota; Fungi; Neocallimastigomycota; Neocallimastigomycetes; Neocallimastigales
Description: partial large subunit ribosomal RNA
Rfam family: Eukaryotic large subunit ribosomal RNA
Source: RNAcentral
GUAGUCUCGCACAGAUGCAUAUCAAUAAGCGGAGGAAAAGAAACUAACAAGGAUUCCCUUAGUAACGGCGAGUGAAGCGGGAAGAGCUCAAAUUUGAAAUCUUCAAGGUUUUACCUUGACGAAUUGUAGUUUAAAGAAGUGUUUUCUGUUGAAGUUUUGGUAAAAGUUCUUUGGAAUAGGACAUCAUAGAGGGUGAGAAUCCCGUAUUUGACCAUUAUUUUCAGCUGUGUGAUACACUUUCAAAGAGUCGGAUUGUUUGGGAAUGCAGUCCAAAAUGGGUGGUAAAUUUCAUCUAAAGCUAAAUAUUGGCGAGAGACCGAUAGCGAACAAGUACCGUGAGGGAAAGAUGAAAAGAACUUUGAAAAGAGAGUUAAACAGUACGUGAAAUUGUCAAAAGGGAAGCGUUUGACACCAGUGCUGUUUUCUCGAAGAUCAAUUAAAAAGAGUUCGAUUUUGUUGCGUAUUGACCUUAACAGCUUGCAUUUCAAUUUUCUUGCUUUUUUUAAUGCACUUUUCGUUUAACAAGUCAACAUCAGUUUCUUUUGUUGUAAAAAGGUCAUUGGAAGGUGGCUCUCUUUUCGGAGAAAGUGUUUAUAGCCUUUGACUCCUGCAAUCGGAGAGACUGAGGUCUGCAGCGUAGAUCCUUCGGGGUUAGAUACAUUUGUGCUAAGUUAUAGCUUUUUAUAGACAACUUGUUGACUAUGAUUAGUCUUGUAGCUUAGCUCGCUUAUGCUAUUUUACCUACGCUUAGGAUGUUGAGCGCAUGUCUCUCUC